Molecule: ribosomal RNA, 728 nt
Filed under: uncultured bacterium
Lineage: Bacteria
Description: bacterial SSU rRNA
Rfam family: Bacterial small subunit ribosomal RNA
Source: RNAcentral
AGAGUGUGGGAGAGGAAGAUGGAAUUAGUUGUGUAGGGGUAAAAUCCGUAGAGAUAACUAGGAAUACCAAAAGCGAAGGCAAUCUUCUGGAACACUACUGACGCUGAGGCGCGAAGGCGUGGGGAGCAAACAGGAUUAGAUACCCUGGUAGUCCACGCAGUAAACGAUGAAUGUUAGUCGUCGGGGGCCUAGUGUCUUCGGUGAUGCAGCUAACGCAUUAAACAUUCCGCCUGGGGAGUACGGUCGCAAGAUUAAAACUCAAAGGAAUAGACGGGGACCCGCACAAGUGGUGGAGCAUGUGGUUUAAUUCGAAGAUACGCGAAGAACCUUACCUAGCCUUGACAUAUUUUAGAACUCCGUAGAGAUACAGAGGUGCCUUCGGGAGCUAAUUUACAGGUGCUGCACGGCUGUCGUCAGCUCGUGUCGUGAGAUGUUGGGUUAAGUCCCGCAACGAGCGCAACCCUCGUCACUAGUUACUAACGGUUCGGCCGAGGACUCUAGUGAGACUGCCUUCGUAAGGAGGAGGAAGGUGAGGACGACGUCAAGUCAUCAUGGCCCUUACGGCUAGGGCAACACACGUGCUACAAUGGCCAGGACAGUGAGACGCGAUACCGUGAGGUGGAGCAAAUCUAUAAACCUGGUCUCAGUUCGGAUUGUAGUCUGCAACUCGACUACAUGAAGCUGGAAUCACUAGUAAUCGUAGAUCAGCUAUGCUACGGUGAAUACGU